GCAAUGCACGGGUGCACGGUGGCGGGGUGGCGUAGGUGGCACAUGCGCGUUGUGAAGGUGGCAGCGUGGCGGCGGCAGUGGUGGUGGAGUAUAGUCAGUCGUGUCCGGGCAUUGUUCGCGUCCGUACAUCUACCCCUUCAGUCCCCUGCCCACGUGCUUACGGUAAACGGUACACGGCACACGCUUGGCAUACUGUAUAGUGCAGUGCAGUGGUAGUGGCAGUGAUUAGCAGUGAUGUGUAGUGAUUUGUAGUGAUACCGGGCACCACCAGUCACCCACGACCGAACGUUCUUUUAUAGUAGUCUUUCUGAUAGGCCUAUACCUCUGUGUGUCUUCAAACUUUUAUACUUUGUGAAGUUUUCGGUGCUAUAGUAGUAGUUAGUGCUAUAUAGUGCCGUAGUGUUGGUUGGUUUGGUGAAGUGUUUUGUUACUCGGAGUACAUUCAAGCCGCCAAAAUUGAGGCGUACAUUCAGCCGGGGGCGCCGGACACGCUCUACGAUCCGGAAGGCUGUGCUUUCCUGACGUACUUUAGUAGGGACAGCGCCGCCUUGGCUCAACACGCGCUACAUGAAAAACGGACAUUACCAGGG
Macrosteles quadrilineatus (aster leafhopper) is the source of this 590-nucleotide long non-coding RNA. RefSeq lists it as uncharacterized. The record is from RefSeq and is a predicted model, not a curated record. NCBI's taxonomy places the organism in Eukaryota, Metazoa, Arthropoda, Insecta, Hemiptera, Cicadellidae. The transcript has 3 exons.